RNAcentral lists this ribosomal RNA (215 nucleotides) under uncultured fungus. RNAcentral describes it as "partial small subunit ribosomal RNA". The stretch from base 39 to 215 matches the Rfam family "Eukaryotic small subunit ribosomal RNA", at positions 685 to 864 of the family's 1831-position model. Lineage: Eukaryota; Fungi. The record is from RNAcentral.
GGGUCAGCAAGUUGGUCGUGCCACUGGUAUGCACUGGCUUUGCUGAUUCCUCCUUCUUGUAGAACCGUAAUGCCAUUAAGUUGGUGUUGCGGGGAAACAGGACUGUUACUUUGAAAAAAUUAGAGUGUUUAAAGCAGGCUAACGCUUGAAUACAUUAGCAUGGAAUAAUGAAAUAGGAUGUUGAUCUUAUUUUGUUGGUUUCUAGGAUUGACGUA